RNAcentral lists this ribosomal RNA (568 nucleotides) under uncultured archaeon. RNAcentral's name for it is "bacterial SSU rRNA". It matches the Rfam family "Archaeal small subunit ribosomal RNA", at positions 326 to 900 of the family's 1478-position model. The record is from RNAcentral.
CGGGGUGCAGCAGGCGCGAAAACUUUACAAUGCUGGCAACAGCGAUAAGGGGACCUCGAGUGCCAGGAUACAAUCUUGGCUGUCGCGAUGCCUAAAAAGCAUUGCAUAGCAAGGGCCGGGCAAGACCGGUGCCAGCCGCCGCGGUAACACCGGCGGCUCGAGUGGUAACCGCUAUUAUUGGGUCUAAAGGGUCUGUAGCCGGCCGGAUAAGUCUUUUGGGAAAUCCAGCUGCUCAACAGUUGGGCUUUCAGAAGAUACUGUUCGGCUCGAGACCGGGAGAGGUGAGAGGUACUUCAGGGGUAGGGGUGAAAUCUUGUAAUCCUUGAAGGACCACCAGUGGCGAAGGCGUCUCACCAGAACGGAUCUGACGGCAAGGGACGAAAGCUAGGGGCACGAACCGGAUUAGAUACCCGGGUAGUCCUAGCCGUAAACGAUACUCGCUAGGUGUCAGCCACGGUGCGACCGUGGUUGGUGCCGUAGGGAAGCCGUGAAGCGAGCCACCUGGGAAGUACGGCCGCAAGGCUGAAACUUAAAGGAAUUGGCGGGGGAGCACAAGGGCGAUUCGCGG